AUUUUAUUUCUAGUGAUUGGAAUGAUGGGAAUCCAAACCCCUUUCAGAGUAACAAUUGGAGGGCAAGUCUGGUGCCAGCAGCCGCGGUAAUUCCAGCUCCAAUAGCGUAUAUUAAAGUUGUUGCAGUUAAAAAGCUCGUAGUUGGAUGUCUGCUGGAAGCAAUCAGUCCGCCCUAUUUUAGGGUGUGCACUUGAUGAAUUCUGGCAUCUAUUAUCUCUAGUGUAGUCAUGAUUUUCAGUAAUCGUGACAUACCAUUAGGGAUAGUACAGUUACUUUGAGAAAAUUAGAGUGUUUGAAGCAGGCUUAUUGUUGCCUUGAAUACUGCAGCAUGGAAUAACAAUAUAGGAUUUCGGUUCUAUUUUGUUGGUUUCUAGGACUGAAAUAAUGAUUAAUAGGGACAGUUGGGGGCAUUCGUAUUUAACUGUCAGAGGUGAAAUUCUUAGAUUUGUUAAAGACGAACUACUGCGAAAGCAUUUGCCAAGGAUGUUUUCAUUAAUCAAGAACGAAAGUUAGGGGCUCGAAGACGAUCAGAUACCGUCGUAGUCUUAACCAUAAACUAUGCCGACUAGAGAUAGCA
This 577-nucleotide ribosomal RNA is filed under the name Sarcocystis rangiferi. RNAcentral's name for it is "SSU rRNA". It matches the Rfam family "Eukaryotic small subunit ribosomal RNA", at positions 492 to 1057 of the family's 1831-position model. Lineage: Eukaryota; Apicomplexa; Conoidasida; Eucoccidiorida; Sarcocystidae. The record is from RNAcentral.